GGGCUAGUAUGAAUGGUUACAUGAGGGUUUAACUGUCUCCUAAGGCCAAUCAUUGAACUUGAUGACGCAGUACAAACGCUGAAAUAAGCCCACAAGACGAGAAGACCCUGUGGAACUUUAAGUUCCCUGCAAGCAGGCCAAGACGCACCAGCCCCCUCCCCUAGCAGGYACUUUCAGUUGGGGCAACUACGGAGUAAAAAAGAACCUCCACGAGCCGCAGCUAACACCUGCCCUCCUAGGCCAACCCGCCAGCCCCCUCCCCCCGCACAGACCCAGCAGAGCUGACUACCGAACCAAGCUACCCCAGGGAUAACAGCGCCAUCCCCUUCAAGAGUCCAUAUCGCCAAGGGGGUUUACGACCUCGAUGUUGGAUCAGGACCCCCCGGUGGUGUAGCCGCUACCAAAGGUUCGUUUGUUCAACG
RNAcentral lists this ribosomal RNA (422 nucleotides) under Lygodactylus arnoulti. RNAcentral's name for it is "partial 16S ribosomal RNA". It matches the Rfam family "Bacterial large subunit ribosomal RNA", at positions 1984 to 2586 of the family's 2925-position model. Lineage: Eukaryota; Metazoa; Chordata; Lepidosauria; Squamata; Gekkonidae. The record is from RNAcentral.